GUUUCCUCGCUUUGCUGAUUCUGGGAUUCUUUUACAGCUGGCCGCAGUGGGUAUGGACGUCACCAACGAAGACUUCACUGGUGUUCAACGUGCCGCCUGGAGGAAAUGUGCGUGCGAUUCAUACCGAAGACUGACAUAUAUUAGCCGGUACACGGCACAAGUGUUACCCGGAACAUGCGUCCAAUGCUAACACUCACCUGUCGACCAUGACCGCAUUCAUUACGCCUUGAAGCAGAAUUCCGAUUCGAGGCCAGGAUGGGAAGCAUGGAGGAAACGCUGCACAACGGGUGACAACUGCCAUAUCAACAGCCCCCACAAAGAGAUGUAGAGCCGCUGAAAUAUGGUGAUCA
Ornithodoros turicata is the source of this 350-nucleotide long non-coding RNA. RefSeq lists it as uncharacterized. NCBI's taxonomy places the organism in Eukaryota, Metazoa, Arthropoda, Arachnida, Ixodida, Argasidae. The record is from RefSeq and is a predicted model, not a curated record. The transcript is spliced from 3 exons.